GCAGUAGCCGCGGGAAUACAGAGGGUGCGAGCGUUAAUCGGAUUUACUGGGCGUAAAGCGUGCGUAGGCGGCUUCUUAAGUCGGAUGUGAAAUCCCUGAGCUUAACUUAGGAAUUGCAUUCGAUACUGGGAAGCUAGAGUAUGGGAGAGGAUGGUAGAAUUCCAGGUGUAGCGGUGAAAUGCGUAGAGAUCUGGAGGAAUACCGGUGGCGAAGGCGGCCCCCUGGACAAAGACUGACGCUCAGGUGCGAAAGCGUGGGGAGCAAACAGGAUUAGAUACCCCUGUAGUCCCUGUCUCUUAUAA
RNAcentral lists this ribosomal RNA (302 nucleotides) under uncultured bacterium. Its description in RNAcentral is "partial 16S ribosomal RNA". It matches the Rfam family "Bacterial small subunit ribosomal RNA", at positions 508 to 809 of the family's 1533-position model. The record is from RNAcentral.